GAUGAACGCUAGCUACAGGCUUAACACAUGCAAGUCGCGGGGCAGCAUGGGGGUUGCUUGCCAUCCCCGAUGGCGACCGGCGCACGGGUGAGUAACGCGUAUUCAACCUGCCCUUCACCACGGGAUAACCCGGCGAAAGUCGGACUAAUACCGUAUGUUGUCCAUUGACGGCAUCCGAUUUGGACGAAAGGCUUGGCGGUGAGGGAUGGGGAUGCGUCCGAUUAGCCAGACGGCGGGGUAACGGCCCACCGUGGCUACGAUCGGUAGGGGUUCUGAGAGGAAGGUCCCCCACACUGGAACUGAGACACGGUCCAGACUCCUACGGGAGGCAGCAGUGAGGAAUAUUGGUCAAUGGGCGUAAGCCUGAACCAGCCAAGUAGCGUGCAGGAUGACGGCCCUAUGGGUUGUAAACUGCUUUUAUGCGGGGAUAAAGUGGCCCACGUGUGGGCUUUUGCAGGUACCGCAUGAAUAAGGACCGGCUAAUUCCGUG
This 490-nucleotide ribosomal RNA is filed under the name uncultured bacterium. Its description in RNAcentral is "partial 16S ribosomal RNA". It matches the Rfam family "Bacterial small subunit ribosomal RNA", at positions 28 to 507 of the family's 1533-position model. The record is from RNAcentral.